AACGAACGCUGGCGGCAGGCUUAAUACAUGCAAGUCGAGCGCUCUCUUCGGAGGGAGCGGCAGACGGGUGAGUAACGCGUGGGAAUCUACCCAUCCCUACGGAAUAGCUCCGGGAAACUGGAAUUAAUACCGUAUACGCCCUUCGGGGGAAAGAUUUAUCGGGGAUGGAUGAGCCCGCGUUUGAUUAGCUAGUUGGUGGGGUAAUGGCCUACCAAGGCGACGAUCAAUAGCUGGUCUGAGAGGAUGAUCAGCCACACUGGGACUGAGACACGGCCCAGACUCCUACGGGAGGCAGCAGUAGGGAAUAUUGGACAAUGGGCGAAAGCCUGAUCCAGCCAUGCCGCGUGAGUGAUGAAGGCCCUAGGGUUGUAAAGCUCUUUCAACGGUGAAGAUAAUGACGGUAGCCGUAGAAGAAGCCCCGGCUAACUUCG
RNAcentral lists this ribosomal RNA (431 nucleotides) under uncultured Phyllobacteriaceae bacterium. RNAcentral's name for it is "bacterial SSU rRNA". It matches the Rfam family "Bacterial small subunit ribosomal RNA", at positions 29 to 505 of the family's 1533-position model. The record is from RNAcentral. Lineage: Bacteria; Pseudomonadati; Pseudomonadota; Alphaproteobacteria; Hyphomicrobiales; Phyllobacteriaceae.